GGCUGGAUAACAUAACGGUUGAAUGUGAUGGACUGCAAACCCGUAAAUGGCGGUUCAAAUCCGCCUCCAGCCU
RNAcentral lists this transfer RNA (73 nucleotides) under Schizocladia ischiensis. RNAcentral describes it as "tRNA-Cys". It matches the Rfam family "tRNA". From Rfam's summary of the family: Transfer RNA (tRNA) molecules are approximately 80 nucleotides in length. Their secondary structure includes four short double-helical elements and three loops (D, anti-codon, and T loops). Lineage: Eukaryota; Schizocladiophyceae; Schizocladiales; Schizocladiaceae. The record is from RNAcentral.